This 489-nucleotide ribosomal RNA is filed under the name Eurepella mjobergi. RNAcentral's name for it is "partial 16S ribosomal RNA". It matches the Rfam family "Archaeal large subunit ribosomal RNA", at positions 1911 to 2653 of the family's 2987-position model. Lineage: Eukaryota; Metazoa; Arthropoda; Insecta; Orthoptera; Gryllidae. The record is from RNAcentral.
UCUUUUUGUAAUUAUAUAAAGUUGUGCCUGCCCACUGAUUAUUAUUGAAGGGCCGCGGUAUUUUGACCGUGCAAAGGUAGCAUAAUCAUUAGUUUUUUAAUUGGGAACUGGAAUGAAUGGUUUGACGAGAUAAUAACUGUCUUAUGAUUAUAGAUUGAAUUUUACUUUUAAGUUAAAAGGCUUAAAUGUUUAUAAGGGACGAGAAGACCCUAUAGAUCUUUACAUUUAAUUAUUUAUAUAGAAUUAGUCGUUGAUUUUAUGUAUAUUAAUUAUUUUUGUUUUGUUGGGGUGACGAGAGAAUAUAAAAACUUCUUUAUAUUAAACUUUGAUGAAUGGGAAAAUGAUCCUUGUUUUUGGAAUUAAGAUUAAGAUACCUUAGGGAUAACAGCGUAAUUUUGUUGGAGAGUUCUUAUCGAUAAUGGAGAUUGCGACCUCGAUGUUGGAUUAAGAUUAGUUUAGGGUGUAGGUGCUUUAWUAUUUGGUCUGUUC